AGCGAACGCUGGCGGCAGGCUUAACACAUGCAAGUCGAACGGGCGUAGCAAUACGUCAGUGGCAGACGGGUGAGUAACGCGUGGGAACGUACCUUUUGGUUCGGAACAACACAGGGGAAACUUGUGCUAAUACCGGAUAAGCCCUUACGGGGAAAGAUUUAUCGCCGAAAGAUCGGCCCGCGUCUGAUUAGCUAGUUGGUGAGGUAACGGCUCACCAAGGCGACGAUCAGUAGCUGGUCUGAGAGGAUGAUCAGCCACAUUGGGACUGAGACACGGCCCAAACUCCUACGGGAGGCAGCAGUGGGGAAUAUUGGACAAUGGGCGCAAGCCUGAUCCAGCCAUGCCGCGUGAGUGAUGAAGGCCCUAGGGUUGUAAAGCUCUUUUGUGCGGGAAGAUAAUGACGGUACCGCAAGAAUAAGCCCCGGCUAACUUCGUG
This 436-nucleotide ribosomal RNA is filed under the name uncultured bacterium. RNAcentral's name for it is "bacterial SSU rRNA". It matches the Rfam family "Bacterial small subunit ribosomal RNA", at positions 29 to 507 of the family's 1533-position model. The record is from RNAcentral.